GACGAACGCUGGCGGCAUGCCUAACACAUGCAAGUCGAACGAGACCUUCGGGUCUAGUGGCGCACGGGGGCGUAACGCGGGGGAACCUGCCCGUAGGUUCGGAAUACCUCCCCGAAAGGGGUGCUAAGACCGGAUAAGCUCUUCGGACCAAAGAUUUAUCGCCAUUGGGUGGGGGCGUGUUGGAUUGGGGAGUUGGUAGGGUAAAAGCAUACCAAGGAGACGAUCCAUGGCUGGUGUGAGAGGAUGACCAGCCACACUGGGACUGAGGCCCGGCCCCGACUCCUACGCGAGGCAGCAGUAGGGUAUACUGGACAAUGGGCGCAAGUCUGAUAACGCCACGCCGGGUGAGUGAUGAAGGCCUUAGGGUUGUAAAGUUCUCUUACACGAGAUGAUAAUGACAGUACCGGGAGAAUAAGCACCGGCUAACUACGUG
RNAcentral lists this ribosomal RNA (433 nucleotides) under uncultured bacterium. Its description in RNAcentral is "partial 16S ribosomal RNA". It matches the Rfam family "Bacterial small subunit ribosomal RNA", at positions 28 to 507 of the family's 1533-position model. The record is from RNAcentral.